Molecule: ribosomal RNA, 641 nt
Filed under: Vibrio sp. CCB-QB3
Lineage: Bacteria; Pseudomonadati; Pseudomonadota; Gammaproteobacteria; Vibrionales; Vibrionaceae
Description: bacterial SSU rRNA
Rfam family: Bacterial small subunit ribosomal RNA
Source: RNAcentral
AACGAGUUAUCUGAACCUUCGGGGAACGAUAACGGCGUCGAGCGGCGGACGGGUGAGUAAUGCCUAGGAAAUUGCCCUGAUGUGGGGGAUAACCAUUGGAAACGAUGGCUAAUACCGCAUGAUGCCUACGGGCCAAAGAGGGGGACCUUCGGGCCUCUCGCGUCAGGAUAUGCCUAGGUGGGAUUAGCUAGUUGGUGAGGUAAGGGCUCACCAAGGCGACGAUCCCUAGCUGGUCUGAGAGGAUGAUCAGCCACACUGGAACUGAGACACGGUCCAGACUCCUACGGGAGGCAGCAGUGGGGAAUAUUGCACAAUGGGCGCAAGCCUGAUGCAGCCAUGCCGCGUGUGUGAAGAAGGCCUUCGGGUUGUAAAGCACUUUCAGUCGUGAGGAAGGUAGUGUAGUUAAUAGCUGCAUUAUUUGACGUUAGCGACAGAAGAAGCACCGGCUAACUCCGUGCCAGCAGCCGCGGUAAUACGGAGGGUGCGAGCGUUAAUCGGAAUUACUGGGCGUAAAGCGCAUGCAGGUGGUUUGUUAAGUCAGAUGUGAAAGCCCGGGGCUCAACCUCGGAAUAGCAUUUGAAACUGGCAGACUAGAGUACUGUAGAGGGGGGUAGAAUUUCAGGUGUAGCGGUGAAAUGCGU